AUGCAAGUCGAACGCUCCCGGGACUUCGGUCUUGGGGGAGUGGCGCACGGGUGAGUAGCGCGUGGGAACCUGCCCUGUUGUGGGGGAUAACCGAGGGAAACUUCGGCUAAUACCGCAUAAGCCGGCUGUCUUGAGAGAGAUGGCCGGGAAAGAUUUAUCGCGACAGGAGGGGCCCGCGUCGGAUUAGGUAGUUGGCGGGGUAACGGCCCACCAAGCCGGUGAUCCGUAGCUGGUCUGAGAGGAUGAUCAGCCACACUGGGACUGAGACACGGCCCAGACUCCUACGGGAGGCAGCAGUGGGGAGUAUUGGACAAUGGGCGCAAGCCUGAUCCAGCAAUGCCGCGUGAGUGAUGAAGGCCUUAGGGUUGUAAAGCUCUUUCGCCCGCGACGAUGAUGACGGUAGCGGGAGAAGAAGCCCCGGCUAACUUCGUGCCAGCAGCCGCGGUAAUACGAAGGGGGCGAGCGUUGUUCGGAAUCACUGGGCGUAAAGGGCGCGUAGGCGGCCCUCCUUGUCGCGUGUGAAAGCCCCGGGCUCAACCUGGGAACGGCGCGCGAGACGGGGGGGCUGGAGUUCGGGAGAGGAGCGUGGAAUUCCCAGUGUAGAGGUGAA
RNAcentral lists this ribosomal RNA (610 nucleotides) under uncultured soil bacterium. Its description in RNAcentral is "bacterial SSU rRNA". It matches the Rfam family "Bacterial small subunit ribosomal RNA", at positions 55 to 685 of the family's 1533-position model. The record is from RNAcentral.